AUUGAACGCUGGCGGCAUGCCUUACACAUGCCAGUCGAACGGCAGCACGGGUGCUGGCACCUGGUGGCGAGUGGCGAACGGGUGAGAAAUACAUCGGAACAUGUCCUGUAGGGGGGGAUAGCCGGGCGAAAGCCGGAUUAAUAGCGCAUACGAUCUACGGCAGAAAGGGGGGGGCCUUGGGGCCUCGCGCUUUGGGGUUGGCCGGUGGCUGAUUAGCGAGUGGGGGGGGUAGAGGCCCAACAAGGGGGCGGUCAGUAGCUGGUCUGAGAGGGCGAGCAGACACGCUGGGGUGGAGACCCGGCCUAGGACCCGACGGGAGGCCGGAGUGGGGAAUUUGGGAGAAGGGGCGAAAGCUUGAUCCAGCAAGGCCGCGUGUGUGAAGAAGGCCUCCGGGUUGUAAAGCGCUUUUGUCCGGAAAGAAAUCCUUGGCCCUAAUACGGUCGGGGGAGGACGGUACCGGAAGAAUAAGCACCGGCUAACUACGU
This 485-nucleotide ribosomal RNA is filed under the name uncultured bacterium. Its description in RNAcentral is "partial 16S ribosomal RNA". It matches the Rfam family "Bacterial small subunit ribosomal RNA", at positions 28 to 506 of the family's 1533-position model. The record is from RNAcentral.